Molecule: transfer RNA, 74 nt
Filed under: Acidimicrobiales bacterium
Lineage: Bacteria; Bacillati; Actinomycetota; Acidimicrobiia; Acidimicrobiales
Also listed under: 1 other name
Description: tRNA-Trp
Rfam family: tRNA
About the family: Transfer RNA (tRNA) molecules are approximately 80 nucleotides in length. Their secondary structure includes four short double-helical elements and three loops (D, anti-codon, and T loops).
Source: RNAcentral
AGGGCAGUAGCUCAAGUCGGUAGAGCACCGGUCUCCAAAACCGGCGGUUGGGGGUUCGAGUCCCUCCUGCCCUG